Molecule: long non-coding RNA, 1006 nt
Organism: Mytilus californianus (California mussel)
Lineage: Eukaryota; Metazoa; Mollusca; Bivalvia; Mytilida; Mytilidae
Exons: 5
Source: RefSeq, a predicted model, not a curated record
AUGUAUGUAUGUAUUACGAAGUUGUCUUGAAUUGUCCUAACAGACUGUUUAUCGCCAUUACGGGUGUUUUAUUCAGAUCACGAUUGAAAAUUUUUCGAGACAGAAGCUCAUGAACAGUAUGGACGCAACCAUGGAAUGAUUGCAAAUCUUCUAUUUCCUUUAUACCUUUACAAGACCAGUGCAUGGGGAAAAGUACAUGUAAAGUAGUUGUGGACUACAAUCCAUGCUCAUAGGAUCCUUUGUUGUAUGCUACUAUUUACUAUCAAUGUACAAAAUCUCCAUAUGGAAUUCGAACAGCUGAUCCCUAUCAACCUAUCAAAUUCCACGGCGGCACUCGUGUACCGACAACUACAUCUCCAACUACAUCUUCAACUACCUCUUCAACUACAUCUAUUCCUGAUUUAUCAACAACUUAUAAGGACCAUAAAAACGACGAUGAUGACAACGACGACAAUAAGCAUCAAAUCCACAACGACAAUUAAAGCAACAAUCCAUUAAAAAUUGGACUAAGAACAGCUAUAGGCAUCGCAUCGAUCAUAGAGAUUACUGCUCUGAUUUGCAUUCUAAAGUAUAGACUGAACAAACUUGAACAAAGACCAAACCUGAUGUCUCAUAGAAACCGUCUGUCGUAUGAUCAAGAUCACAUGUUUCAAAACCCAAGUAUAUACCAGAUUUCAGUUUCAAAUCCAGGAUACAGCAACCCAAUGGGAUACAGACUAGAUACAUCUAACGAGAGCGAUUAUGAUUUGACUUCAUAUGAAGAAACCGUCGGAAACACAUACGAACAAGUGAACUAUAGGGCACCAAAAGUAUCAAAUGUGAAAAAGUGACUGUAUUGAUGUAUAAAGAAGCAAACAUUUCGUUGACUAACUGACUAAACUUCAUAAAUUGUAUUGUGUUGUGCAUUUAAAACAUAGUGGUUUAAACGAAUGUUAUUUGACAAUUAUACGAAUAAACGUUUACAAGACGUAUACGGGUAUUCGUUUAUCAGAAAUCUCAUACGCCU